UGGGGAAUAUUGCGCAAUGGGGGAAACCCUGACGCAGCAACGCCGCGUGGGCGAAGAAGGCCUUCGGGUUGUAAAGCCCUGUCAGGUGGAACGAAAGGCGUUCGUGUGAACAGCACGAAUGUGUGACGGUACCAUCAGAGGAAGCACCGGCCAACUCCGUGCCAGCAGCCGCGGUAAUACGGAGGGUGCGAGCGUUGCUCGGGAUUACUGGGCGUAAAGCGUGCGCAGGCGGCAUGUCAAGUCAGACGUGAAAGACCGGGGCUCAACCUCGGGAGGUCGUUUGAAACUGGCAAGCUCGAGUACGGGAGAGGGGUGUGGAAUUCCCAGUGUAGGAGUGAAAUCCGUAGAUAUUGGGAGGAACACCAGUGGCGAAGGCGACACCCUGGCCCGAGACUGACGCUCAGGCACGAAAGCGUGGGGAGCAAACAGGAUUAGAUACCCUGGUAGUCCACGCUGUAAACGAUGAGUGCUGGGUGUUGUGGGUUACGACCUGCAGCG
Molecule: ribosomal RNA, 498 nt
Filed under: uncultured Pseudomonadota bacterium
Lineage: Bacteria; Pseudomonadati; Pseudomonadota
Description: bacterial SSU rRNA
Rfam family: Bacterial small subunit ribosomal RNA
Source: RNAcentral